Molecule: long non-coding RNA, 1219 nt
Organism: Artibeus jamaicensis (Jamaican fruit-eating bat)
Lineage: Eukaryota; Metazoa; Chordata; Mammalia; Chiroptera; Phyllostomidae
Exons: 5
Source: RefSeq, a predicted model, not a curated record
UUGGCCGGGCCAAGCGAGGAGAUGCGCUAACAUUAAGUCGAGAGGUAGUGGUGGCAGAGACGCUCCGGAAAUCGGGGCAGCUUUGAGACCGUGUCCGGAUCAGGGUCGUGUCACUGUCAAAAACACGGGACUGCCUCUCUUUCCCGUGUGUGUGCGCGCGCGGGAGCGCGCGCAGCUCUCGCUGUGGACACCGCACCGAGCCUUAGUUUAUCUUCUCUCCUAUAGCGGGCUUAUUCAGGUGAUUUUAAUUUUGGAAAAAGCCAGAAGUUGCAGGGUGCCAAACCUGGGCUAUAGUGGAGCAGUCACCUGGGUGAUUUGAUGUUUCUCAAAAGAACUCUGCACAAGACGUGAUCUGUGAGCAGGAACAGAAGGAAACUACGUGCACCAGCCAAAGACUGAAUUACAGUCAGCGAGAGCAUCUGCCUGAGAGAAACAGUAAAGUGACUGCCGUUAAAAUUAGUGACAAAGCUGGAAGACUUUAACAAAUGUGAUAAGACUCCUCCACGAAGCUUAAAGGUACCUUUGUUGGGGAAGCACAAAGGUUCUUACCUUGCUUUUGUCAUGCAGCCGUGUACCUUGGAGCCAUUUCUAAUCACCUGACAACAGAGACCCGUUUCAUCCCGUCCUCACUGGAACCACACCAUCUACCCAUUGAACUCCCCAGGAACGAUUUCAGAACUCAGUUGAUUUGAGAUGACUGUAUUUAUUAGGACCAUCCCCAUGUAAGUUUUCUGGUGGGAUCAAAGCUGUGCCUGUCAGCCAGGGAAAAAACACAGAAGCAGAGAGUUUACUUUAGAUCCUGUGGUCCGUAAAUAAUAGCCCUCCAAAGAUGUCCACAGAACCUUCUGAAUAUGUUCAUUUGCGUGGCAAAGAGACUUUGGGGGUGUGAUCAAGUUAAGGCUCUUGAGAUGGGGUGCUGAUCCUGGAUUGCCAUGGUGAGCCCAAAGUAACCAGUGUCCUUUCGCAGAGAGAGGCAGUAGAGUUAGACAGUGGACACAAGAUUGGAAGCAGAGGUCAGAGAGGAGAAAAUGCUGUUGCUGGCUCUGAAGAUGAAGGAGGGGACCACCAGCCAGAGAACUCUGGAAGCUGGAAACGGCAAGGAAAUGGAUUCUCCUCUAGAGCCUCGAAAAUGAACAGGCCUGCAGAACUAAGAUAAUUAAUUUGUAAUGUACAUAUAUUACAUUACAAGUUAAUAUACAAUAUAUUGUGUUAUAAGUCA